RNAcentral lists this ribosomal RNA (576 nucleotides) under uncultured bacterium. RNAcentral describes it as "bacterial SSU rRNA". It matches the Rfam family "Bacterial small subunit ribosomal RNA", at positions 102 to 665 of the family's 1533-position model. The record is from RNAcentral.
ACGGGUGAGUAACACGUAGGCAACCUGCCCUCAAGCCUGGGAUAACUACCGGAAACGGUAGCUAAUACCGGAUAAUUUCUUUUUUCUCCUGAGAGAAGAAUGAAAGGCGGAGCAAUCUGCUGCUUGGGGAUGGGCCUGCGGCGCAUUAGCUAGUUGGUGGGGUAACGGCCCACCAAGGCGACGAUGCGUAGCCGACCUGAGAGGGUGAACGGCCACACUGGGACUGAGACACGGCCCAGACUCCUACGGGAGGCAGCAGUAGGGAAUCUUCCGCAAUGGGCGCAAGCCUGACGGAGCAAUGCCGCGUGAGUGAUGAAGGUUUCCGGAUCGUAAAGCUCUGUUGCCAGGGAAGAACGUCCGGUAGAGUAACUGCUGCCGGAGUGACGGUACCUGAGAAGAAAGCCCCGGCUAACUACGUGCCAGCAGCCGCGGUAAUACGUAGGGGGCAAGCGUUGUCCGGAAUUAUUGGGCGUAAAGCGCGCGCAGGCGGUUAUUUAAGUCUGGUGUUUAAACCUUGGGCUCAACCUGAGGUCGCACUGGAAACUGGGUGACUUGAGUACAGAAGAGGAAAGUGGA